RNAcentral lists this ribosomal RNA (221 nucleotides) under Shigella flexneri. RNAcentral's name for it is "partial 23S ribosomal RNA". It matches the Rfam family "Bacterial large subunit ribosomal RNA", at positions 429 to 649 of the family's 2925-position model. The record is from RNAcentral. Lineage: Bacteria; Pseudomonadati; Pseudomonadota; Gammaproteobacteria; Enterobacterales; Enterobacteriaceae.
GUAUCCUGUCUGAAUAUGGGGGGACCAUCCUCCAAGGCUAAAUACUCCUGACUGACCGAUAGUGAACCAGUACCGUGAGGGAAAGGCGAAAAGAACCCCGGCGAGGGGAGGGAAAAAGAACCUGAAACCGUGUACGUACAAGCAGUGGGAGCACGCUUAGGCGUGUGACUGCGUACCUUUUGUAUAAUGGGUCAGCGACUUAUAUUCUGUAGCAAGGUUAA